UCUGAGGCCAACUUAAUUCAAAUGAGGGCAGCGGCGGGUCACUCCUGUGAGGACCAGCAUUUUCAGCUUGGCUGCACCAUCGCAGAAGAAGUAUCAACAGAGAAGAGGAGGAGAAGAAGAAGAUAUGAAGGUGAAUUCCAGCAAAGCAUUAGGAUGAAUAUUAGUUGUUCCAU
Molecule: long non-coding RNA, 173 nt
Organism: Epinephelus fuscoguttatus (brown-marbled grouper)
Lineage: Eukaryota; Metazoa; Chordata; Actinopteri; Perciformes; Serranidae
Exons: 3
Source: RefSeq, a predicted model, not a curated record